GACGAACGCUGGCGGCGUGGAUUAGGCAUGCAAGUCGAACGGUAUCAUCCUUUCGGGGGUGAGAGAGUGGCGAACUGGUGAGUAACACGUAGGUUAUCUACCCUCAAGACGGGGACAACCCAGGGAAACUUGGGCUAAUACCGGAUGUGAGCAACUUUUAGUUGUUUGAAAGGUGGCGUAAGCUGUCGCUUGGGGAUGAGCCUGCGUCCUAUUAGUUAGUUGGUGAGGUAACGGCUCACCUAGGCAAUGAUAGGUAGGCGGCCUUAACGGGUGGUCGCCCACACUGGGAUUGAGAUACGGCCCAGACUCCUACGGGAGCAGCAGUCGAGAAUAGUCUACAAUGGUCGGAAGACUGAUAGUGCGACGCCGCGUGAACGAUGAAUCCCUUCGGGGUGUAAAGUUCUUUUAUAUGUGAGCAGUGCUUCUUAUAUUAACAGUAUGGGGAGAGAGAUAUUAGCAUAUGAAUAAGCAACGGCUAAACUCCGUGCCCAGCAGCCGCGGUAAGACG
Molecule: ribosomal RNA, 508 nt
Filed under: uncultured bacterium
Lineage: Bacteria
Description: bacterial SSU rRNA
Rfam family: Bacterial small subunit ribosomal RNA
Source: RNAcentral